This 594-nucleotide long non-coding RNA is filed under the name Mus musculus (house mouse). Its description in RNAcentral is "long non-coding RNA chr3:135467601-135468195". Lineage: Eukaryota; Metazoa; Chordata; Mammalia; Rodentia; Muridae. The record is from RNAcentral.
ACCCUUCCCAGUAGUGUGUGGCAUCACUAGUGCUGGGUAUAGGACUAAAGUGAGUAUUAGGUUGAAUAUUGUUGUAGAGUAUUUGUGUGUCCUAUACCUCUUAAUGCAUAAAUUCCUAAAUUUAAACAUGUCUUUAGAGUCCAGUUGGCCUGUCAAUGGUGAAUUUCCUUUUGAUUUUUUCUUGGGCAGGUUUGCAAUGUGAUAAUCAGAUUUUUUUUUAACUGAUUAUAGAUUGUUUCCUUGUGUGGGUGUACUCACAUUUAAAAGUAUGAACCACGGUUAACUAGUGGUCUCAGGGGUAGUGAAACACUCACUUUUUAUUUACUGGGUUAGUUGAAGUAUUCUUAAGACACUGAUCAUGCUGUGUUCGUGAUUUGGGGGGUGGGUAAUACUAAAAUUAGUCAUGUUUUGUGUUCACAUAACAAAACUGUUCAAUGACUGUUGGUUACACUUUUAAGUGAAUUUGUCUCCUAUUUUAUGAGGAACCCAAUGCAAGUCACUAAAUGUCUUAAUAGUGACAUCUGCAUAAGACUUGUAAUAGCUAAAGUUAAUUGAGCUUAAAGGAAUUGUUACCAUUAAAGUCUGUGUUUAAAC